AAAUUUAAUUGUGCAAUUCAAUUUAGUUUGAUGUUUAUAAUCUUACUUAUAUUAUUUUUAUGUUAUAUGAGAAGUA
Molecule: transfer RNA, 76 nt
Filed under: Micromacromia camerunica
Lineage: Eukaryota; Metazoa; Arthropoda; Insecta; Odonata; Libellulidae
Description: tRNA-Val
Source: RNAcentral